CAGUCGCCGCGGUAAUACGUAGGGUGCGAGCGUCAAUCGGAAUUACUGGGCGUAAAGCGUGCGCAGGCGGUUGUGUAAGACAGGUGUGAAAUCCCCGGGCUUAACCUGGGAACUGCGCUUGUGACUGCACAGCUAGAGUAUGGCAGAGGGGGGUGGAAUUCCACGUGUAGCAGUGAAAUGCGUAGAGAUGUGGAGGAACACCGAUGGCGAAGGCAGCCCCCUGGGCCAAUACUGACGCUCAUGCACGAAAGCGUGGGGAGCAAACAGGAUUAGAUACCCCUGUAGUCCCUGUCUCUUAUAC
This 301-nucleotide ribosomal RNA is filed under the name uncultured bacterium. RNAcentral's name for it is "partial 16S ribosomal RNA". It matches the Rfam family "Bacterial small subunit ribosomal RNA", at positions 509 to 807 of the family's 1533-position model. The record is from RNAcentral.